AUGAACGCUGGCGGCGUGCCUAAUACAUGCAAGUCGAGCGAACAGACGAGGAGCUUGCUCCUCUGACGUUAGCGGCGGACGGGUGAGUAACACGUGGAUAACCUACCUAUAAGACUGGGAUAACUUCGGGAAACCGGAGCUAAUACCGGAUAAUAUAUUGAACCGCAUGGUUCAAUAGUGAAAGACGGUUUUGCUGUCACUUAUAGAUGGAUCCGCGCCGCAUUAGCUAGUUGGUAUGGUAACGGCUUACCAAGGCAACGAUGCGUAGCCGACCUGAGAGGGUGAUCGGCCACACUGGAACUGAGACACGGUCCAGACUCCUACGGGAGGCAGCAGUAGGGAAUCUUCCGCAAUGGGCGAAAGCCUGACGGAGCAACGCCGCGUGAGUGAUGAAGGUCUUCGGAUCGUAAAACUCUGUUAUUAGGGAAGAACAAAUGUGUAAGUAACUAUGCACGUCUUGACGGUACCUAAUCAGAAAGCCACGGCUAACUACGUG
This 496-nucleotide ribosomal RNA is filed under the name uncultured bacterium. RNAcentral's name for it is "partial 16S ribosomal RNA". It matches the Rfam family "Bacterial small subunit ribosomal RNA", at positions 29 to 507 of the family's 1533-position model. The record is from RNAcentral.